Equus caballus (horse) is the source of this 4999-nucleotide long non-coding RNA. NCBI's taxonomy places the organism in Eukaryota, Metazoa, Chordata, Mammalia, Perissodactyla, Equidae. The record is from Ensembl.
CAGCAGGAGCCUGGUCUGUGGGUUGCUGUUAGCUCCAGGAAUGAUUCCACAGGGCGGCUGACCCCUGAGGCCACCCUGUGGAGGGCCGCACCUGUGACCGCAAAUACAGCCGUUGGUCUCCCCGUGAGGCUCACCUCCCCUGACCUGGAGACCUCCAACCCCGGAUGUUCCUCGGUGGUUAGGUCUGAUGUUUCUGCAGGCCGCUCUGUGCUGCUCCUACACCCCACCCAACCUCCCCUUUCUUAGAUUUUUAAAGAAGAAAUGACCCACGAACCUAUCUAAAAACGGUUCAACUGAAGCGGAAUUCUAAAAAUGACUGAAAAAUAACCUUUGUGAGGUAUGAGCCUGUGUCUGAAGCAGUGCUUUCAAGGGCUCUGUGGGAAAUCCACACCCAUGUGGUUGGCUAGUUGCAUCUUUUCACCCACAUUAGAAGGUGAUUUUAAUGUGUUUAAUUUAGCAAGAAUUUGUUUGGUGACAUUCCACUUUCACACCCCUUUGUCAGAGAAGGAAGAAGGACCACGUUCUCCAAUUGUCGGUCCCCUUCACUCUGAUAGAAGUCCUGUUGUCCUGUCUUCCCUGCUCAGGGCAGCUCCCUCCCCCAAUCCUCCAGGAGCCUUCGCAGCUGCAGCGAAAGGAGGAACUCAAGUUCGUUCGAGUGGGAGGUGAGCAGAGACAGAAAGAGAGAGGAACUGGGGGUGCAGACUUUCCACAAGUGACUUCAUAUGUCCCUGAGCAUCACCUUGCACCACCAGUCCACUGUGGCAGGUCAGUGCAAACGAGUCUGAGAAACCACAGGCUGCUCCAGUGGCUGCCGCUGCCUCUUGCUCAGUUGAAAAUUAUUCUCUGCUGGGAGUGGACGACCUCUGAGCAUUGAUGAAAACAGCUGGUCUCAGAUUCGGAGUUAGAGAAGAUGUAAGCAAGGAAGUCUUCACAGAUAUGAAAAUAUCGGGAACCUGAACUUAUAUAUGGGACAUUGGAGCUUUCUUUCUCUUGGUGCUGAGUGUUGUCACUGUAGGAGGGACACUCUUCAGUCAACAUGUGUUCACUGGGAAUCUGUUAUGUGUCAGGCCCUGUGCUAGCUGCUGGGGGUGCACCGGUGAGUGACACCCACCUUCACAGAGCCCAGAGCAGUCAUCUCCGAACUUUCGUCAUUGCACAUCCCUGUAGGAAAAAAUGGUUCGCAAUCGUUUGGGGGGCUCAUAGAUCCCUUUGGUAUCUGAUGAAAUUUAUGGCUUCUCUCCCUAAAAAAACGCAGUCUCAUCUUACUCCUGCAACAAGUUGGGAAUAGUACUACCCCUUGAGGUUUCUCUACACCUUGACUGCUGCUGUGCCGGGUCACAUUGGAGCUUGAGGCAAAAGGAAAUAAUGGUCAAGUAUGACAUUCCCGGGAGAAUGGAUCAGAUUAGCUCAACUUGAGGCGAGUAGCCAUCUUGGUACCAAGCAACUAUGACCAGAGGACAGGAUCUUGUGGUUGAGCGCCUACUGGAAGCCCAUCCCUGAAGAUGGAAAAUAGAGAUUUCUAGAGAAGAGGAAUUGCUUCCAGAGAAAGAGGGACCUGCUACAUGGCAGUGCUGGCUGUUAAACCAAAGUAAUAUUGUCCAUGUUUUAUAUUUUGCUUGAUCUUCAAUUGUCAAGAGUAAACACCCAACAAUGUUCCACUCAGUGAAUUCUGUAGAUUAAUGCCUCCAAGUGCAAAAGUGGUAAAAAUGAAUGCAAUUUGAAAUUUAUUCUUUAUGUAAGUAGUGUCUGUGAGAAGGGAGUGGGGAUUUGUUCACGAGCCACAGGCUUGUGCUCCAAAAUUCCACGUAAGAUAGAUCUGUUGUGGUCUAGUUCGAGGCUGAUGGUCUAACACAGCUUUUGCGCAUCUGAAAUACCAGGCUAAGAAUGGCAAACACGUGGACCCAUUAUUCUAUCUGUCGCCUGGCCCGUGGCAGACAUCACUAGUAGGCUAAUAAGCAGUAAGCAGAACUCAUUACUGAUAAGCUUCAGAAUCCUUCUCAACACUGCUCUCUAAGAAGCCAGCAUUAACUAAGCAGGUAGCACAUGAAAAAAACCCACUUGCCACUGCUGCCCAAGAGGCACGCUGGGUGACUUAUCACGGACCCACCAUGAGCUACUGGAGCCAGCAUUUUAUUGUCAUGCGUGAAAGUUUGGAUGGAGACUGCUGUUCUGAGCAGAUUAGAGGCAGGAUGCGGUCAAGUCAUCAAGGUAACUUCGCCAUCUGUGUUCUUGUUACAAAUCCAAGGAGUCCAGCCCAAGCCCUCUCCCCUGAGAAGGCUGGAACAGACAAAGGCCUACUUCUUGUUUAGUUGAAGGCAGGUGAGUGGUUCUGUUGGGUCACAGUUGAGAAGGUGGUUGAGUGAGCAGUCAUAGGCCUCUGGAGUCAGGCCUUCACGGGACGCUUCAAAAGGCCCAUUUCUUCCUGGGUCCCGGGUAGGGGCCAGCCAAGGAAGAGCCAUCAGAGAAGCCUGCCUCCUUUCCUCCCAGUGUCUCAGGCCUCCAUCCGCAGCAGUGCAGGCUUGAGGGGCCUGGCAGGCUUCCAGGCACAAACACUGCACAGUCGGGUUUUUUUUGUUUUUCAUUUUUGAGGAAGAUUAGCCCUGAGCUAACUACUGCCAAUCCUCCCCUUUUUGCUGAGGAAGACUGGCCCUGAGCUAACAUCCAUGCCCAUCCUCCUCUACUUUAUAUGUGGGAUGCCUACCACAGCAUGGCUUUUGCCAAGCGGUGCCAUGUCUGCACCCAGGAUCCAAAGCGGCGAACCCCGGGCCACCAAGAAGCGGAAUGUGCUCACUUAACCACUGCACCACUGGGCCAGCCCCUGCACGGUGGGUUAUGAAGCCAAACCUGAUGGCCUUGCUCAUCCCCUCGUGCCUCCUCCCUGCUCCCUGACAGUUAAGUGAAUGAAGUCCAGAAAGGUUAAGAGAUUCCAUCAAAGUCAUACAGGUAAUCAGUGAGUUCCAGGUUGCGUGAAGAGCUAGCGUUCAUGGUGUGCCUCUCUGAAGCCCUAUGAAAGACCAAGUUUCGUUGUUAUCCUGGUUUUACCUGUGAGAAAACCAAUGCCACACUGCCCAGAUGAGGGCCCUGAACCACACAGAUGCUGAAAGCGAGCCAACCUGGAAGCCUGUGGAGUUCCCCCAGCGUGAUUGGAGCCAUUGUUCUGCUGCCUGGCAGGGAGGGGCAGCGGGCUUCGGUGCCUUCGGUAGACAUCUGCCUCCGAGGUUUCCUCUGCCUCGCUGUUUGGAGACACAAGCUUUUCCUUCAGAGUCUGAGCCUUUUCAGUGCAAAAAUUUCAGCAAAAUAGCUACGUUUUCCAUUGCUUCAUUGUAUUGAGAACAGGCGUGUCUUGAUCCCACCUCUACUUUUCAAAGGAAGAUUAGCUCUGAGCUAACAUCUGCCACCAAUCCUCCUCUUUUUUGCUAAGGAAGAUUGGCUCUGAGCUAACUCCAGCGCCUGUCUUCCUCCACUUUGUAUGCCGGAUGCCUGCCAAAUCAUGGCUUGACAAGCAGUGUGUAGGUCCACACCCGGGAUCUGAACUGGCAAACCCCGGGCCGCCAAAGCAGAAUGUGAGAACUUAACGGCUGUACCACCGGCUGGCCCCUGAAUCAUGGUAAUUGGAUGAUGGAAUUUGUAAGGGCCAUUUGCCAGUUGCUCCCUAGAAUCCACUCCCUUUUGUCCCCUCUUAAUCGUUGGUUGGGGUUGGCCCCCACUCCUGACUGAGGGCAGCCAAUCAGCCCAUCAUAUUUCCUUGGCCUCAGAACUGUUUCAUGUAAGAAAAAAUCUUGUCCAAUCAGAAUGAAUCAGAAUGAUUACGAGGCGUAGAAUAGCUGCAGCCAGGAGGGGCAGCCUGGAGCCUCCAGGAGGCCUGAGAUGGACCCUGAGAGAGGAACUAGUCCAACGACGUGUGCUGGGGGAUGGAGCCUACUGGGGUCAAGCUGGGUGACAUGCCGAAGCGGGGCGAAUGCCCUUUUGGUUUUGGUUCUUGUUUAGCUGGCCUGAGGUGAGUCGCCUUUCACUUGCAGCCAUAAGGAUCCUAGGUGCUAAAGGAUGCCCGGUAGCUGUGAAAGGAAGUGAGGUGCAUCUACAUUUGCCCAUGUGGAAUUCCUUGAGAUACUUUGUGAAAUGAAAGCAUUAUACAACGAAUAUAGAAUAUACUCCCUUCUAUAUAAAUGAAAAGCUGUGAGAAUGAGUGAGUGCCUGUGCAUGUGUGGAUGUGUGUGAUGUGUAUAACAGUCUCAGCUAGUCCACGCAAUGCUUUUGAACAAAUUAGGAAAAGACGCUCCCUCUGGUAUGUGCAGCCCCAUGCCACGGAGCAGCUUGGCAAGCAAGUGUGCAAUGGAUUUUAACCCCUCCUUGUCUCUGUGGCUGGGGGGCUUCAUGCUGUACACAAUCUACACAAUAUGCCAUGGUCCUUUGUCUAUAUACUUGUAUAUGAUAUUUCCGGUAGGAUACAUGCAAAACCAGAAAGACAGGUUGCUUCUAGGAAGGGAAGACUCGGAGUUUGGUGGUAGUAGGGUGAAAGGAGGCUUGUCCUCUGUGCUGCCCUGGGGGGGGUAUUUGAAUUUUACUACCAUCUACACAAAUUACUUUUCAAAACUAGUUCAUUUGAAUAAACAAGUAGGAAAGCAAACAAAAACACAGGUUUGAUCUCAGUUACUCCCUUGUUUCAAAAAACUUUCAACAAUCCUCAUGAAGAACUUCCAGCUACUUGAGCACAUCAUACAAAGGUUGCAGCUGGCCCCAGCCUGCCAUCCUAGCCUUACCUCGGGCAGCUCGCUUGGCCUCUCCGCCUUUGCAGCUGCUGUCCUCUCUGCUCUUCCCUGUGUCCCACCUGGGGGACUGCCGUCAUCCUCGGGGGCCCUUGUUCCUGGGUGUGCCCACAGUCCUUGGUGCCUUUCCCUUUCUUGCUACCUACCACAUUUUAUUGCAAUUGUUUGUUUAUUCCUACGCCACCUGCUUUCUGUGAGUGAGCUCUUUGACGGACCUGUGUCCCUGGACUUAG